Long non-coding RNA from Portunus trituberculatus (swimming crab), 152 nucleotides. RefSeq lists it as uncharacterized. The transcript is spliced from 3 exons. The record is from RefSeq and is a predicted model, not a curated record. NCBI's taxonomy places the organism in Eukaryota, Metazoa, Arthropoda, Malacostraca, Decapoda, Portunidae.
CCCCUUCAAGGUCAAAUAUUAAUAGGUCUAAGUUUUGGAGGCAUAUAAAUAAAGGAGGAAAAAUAAAUCAUGUUUGGACUUUGAAGGUGUUAGAAAGAGCUGUGAUAAAAGCUUGUUGCAUAGAUGAUGUAAUGGGAGGGAAUGGUAGUGGU